CAGAAACUUAAGUCCACUAAUUCCAUUGAUAGACAAAUAACCACCAAGCAUAAGUUCACAAUUUCAUAGCAUAUGACCACAAAAUAUGUACAAAAUAUUCGAAGCACACACACAUCAUAAUUCAAUCCAUCUCCCCUUUUUGCAUCAACCGAAAAAGAAAAUAAGAGAGGUCUCAAAACACAAAGAUAAAUAUCCAUGCAUAUAGCAAGUUAAAGUAGCAAACUAACAACAAAUAAAGAAACCAGUAGCAUGAUAAAAUAGCAAACACAAAACAGCAGCAGAUUCAAGGAUUAAGUCUUUUGCUCCUUCGAAUGGACUUCUUUACUAACUUGCUUCCAUAUGCCUUCAGUGAGUCCUCAGCUAGCUGCAUGGAGCGAACCUCUUUGAAAGCCAAAGCUACCACAAUGGCAAAGGUACCUACUGAUUUUCUUAUAGUUCACCAUAUGGCAAAACAGUGGAAAUAUCUUCUAGGGGUGCAAACUGUUGCAGGGAUUUCUUCUUUGCUAGGGAAGGAACAACCUCCUCUUCUGAUUCUUGUUCCUUAUCAGAUUCAACUUUUCUUCUGAAGUUUCUUCCUCUUCUUCUGAUUCCCUUUCACCUUCUUCCUUACUCUCAUUCUAAGAUUCCUCUUCAGGCUUAUUUUCCUUUCCUUGUUCAUCCCCAUUUUUAGAAUUAUUAGAACCAUCAUCAUCAUCUUCAGCAUCAUCUCCAUCAUCAUCAUCAUCAUCAUUUCAUCAUCACCACCUUCCUCAGUCUCAGAUUCAAUUUCUAGCUUCUUUUUCAAGACCUCAACUUCUUUAUCAAGCUUCAGCACAAUAUUGAUAACAAGAUCUAUCUUCUUGUCUAAGUUAAGCAUGAAAUCCUCUUGAUAUUUCAUAAAGAAAUUUUCGGCAUCAAAUCCAAUAUCAAACAAUUGCCCCAAAUUAUCAAAUUUCUCUGAUAUUGUUUUAGAAAAACCGCUUCCUUGAUGUCUAGAUUUUCUUCCAUCAUCCUCAGGUGGAAUACCUCAGUAGGUGUCACAUGACUCCUAAACUGCUCUUGUUCCAAUUUAAGCUAAAAUGAGUUGAACAGGGCAGAAAGCAAAAUAAAAUAGCAAACUAAUGAUAGAACACAAUAUCAGUAUAACAAACUAUUUUCAUUUGCUACUAGUACACAAAAAAUGCAAUCUAUAGAAAAUGAUUUUCAAUCAAUUUGAACAUGAAUUGAAAUGCUCCAAACAUGUCACUAAGCAUUCAAAUUAUCAAGUAUCACUCAAUAUUCAUAUAGAUAGACAAAUAUGUAACAUAGAUUAAGCAAGAGCCUCAUUCAUGCCAAUUUUUUUUCUUAUUCUAUGAUGCAGCAUGUGGCAUUCAAAG
RNAcentral lists this unclassified non-coding RNA (1355 nucleotides) under Hevea brasiliensis (rubber tree). Lineage: Eukaryota; Viridiplantae; Streptophyta; Magnoliopsida; Malpighiales; Euphorbiaceae. The record is from RNAcentral.